UAGGGAAUCUUCCGCAAUGGACGCAAGUCUGACAGAGCAACGCCGCGUGAGUGAAGAAGGAUUUCGGUUCGUAAAACUCUGUUGUUAGAGAAGAACAGCGCAUAGAGUAACUGUUAUGCGUGUGACGGUAUCUAACCAGAAAGCCACGGCUAACUACGUGCCAGCAGCCGCGGUAAUACGUAGGUGGCAAGCGUUGUCCGGAUUUAUUGGGCGUAAAGCGAGCGCAGGCGGUCAAUUAAGUCUGAUGUGAAAGCCCCCGGCUCAACCGGGGAGGGUCAUUGGAAACUGGUUGACGUGAGUGCAGAAGAGGGGAGUGGAAUUCCAUGUGUAGCGGUGAAAUGCGUAGAUAUAUGGAGGAACACCAGUGGCGAAGGCGACUCUCUGGUCUGUAACUGACGCUGAGGCUCGAAAGCGUGGGUAGCAAACAGG
RNAcentral lists this ribosomal RNA (429 nucleotides) under Bacteroidota bacterium. RNAcentral describes it as "Bacteroidetes bacterium partial 16S ribosomal RNA". It matches the Rfam family "Bacterial small subunit ribosomal RNA", at positions 355 to 776 of the family's 1533-position model. The record is from RNAcentral. Lineage: Bacteria; Pseudomonadati; Bacteroidota.